Long non-coding RNA from Aegilops tauschii subsp. strangulata, 2709 nucleotides. RefSeq lists it as uncharacterized. The record is from RefSeq and is a predicted model, not a curated record. NCBI's taxonomy places the organism in Eukaryota, Viridiplantae, Streptophyta, Magnoliopsida, Poales, Poaceae.
AUUUUUUCCUUUUUUUUGCUCCGCAACAUUUUUUUCAAAAAGGACUACAAAUUUUUUCCUGAUAAUAAUAAAGGAGCUAUUGCUUCUGCCCACCUGCUCACCGUCGCGCCUGUUUUGCAAAACAACUUUUUUUUUAAUUUAACCCGCGGUCCCCUUUUUAAGUGGAUCUGGAAAACGUUUCGAUCUUACAAAAAGGACCUUGGAUUAGGGAGUAUUCAACCCGCAAUCCUUACGUUUCGUUUUUUGUGCAGGCGGCGGCCAUGACAGGGAGGGGCGGCGACGCUGCGCUCAGGCAGCGCAUCAGGCGGCGGCAGGGAGGCGGGAGGUGCGCGACGGAGACGAAGGAGGAGAAAAUAGAGAGGCGUGGAGGAGAGGCGCGCGAGCGGGAAGGGCUGGCGAGUCGACCACGACGCGGACGAGACCAGCGGCGGCCUUGCAGCGGCUUGCGGUGGUGCAGUCGGCGAGGACCUGCCGAAUCUCGCCGGAUCCGGUGGAAAAUGGCGCAUAGGAGGCGGAUCUGGAAGGAAGUCAGCCAGAGCUCAGAGCACGAUGGCUGCGGGCGCGGCAUGGCUUCGGGUACUGCUGCUGCUCGGCGGUGGGAGAGAAAAGGGAAGACGGGAGGAAGGAGAUGGGAGGCCGGAGGGAGAGAAGGGAGCGGUGAGGUAGGGUGGUGGUGCUUGCGGGCGGGAUGUCCCUCGACGCCGGCACCGUGGCCAUACCAUCUGAAGAUGUGGGGAGUCCCUGGAGUCCUGGACACUGCCUUUGAGGAGCACGGCGACUGCCAGUGCCUGGAGGCCAAGCCAUUCGGUGUGACCGUCAUGCCCGUACUUUCCUGCCACUUCCGGUCUUCCCAACUCGACGGCAAGUACCAAGCAGCAGCUCAGCCAAACCCCGACAACAAGUGCUGAACCGGUUCACAGACUAGCCUGAUUGAUUCAAUCCCCACGUGCUUGUGUCAAUGCCUGCAAGGGAGCAAGCGUACUGGAGUUAUGGUUGGAUGGAGAGUAAUUUGCUACAAAGCUUUACUAUUUAUGGUUAUUUCCUAAAUCUGUGAUUUAAUAUAUAAUGCAUUCUGUAGAAACCAAAAUAAUGUUCGUAGAGAUCCGUUUUUACCAUAUUUCUGCCAUUCAUUUCUGAUUUGAGAAAAUUGCUCAGAAUUAGGUAAUAUCAUUUAUGCUUGUGUUAUCUCUAUCAUUUUAUGGUUUAGCACCAGUCGCACACUGUGGUUACCGUGUGUGGCUUGAAUCAAAUAGCAUGUGAUUGAGCAAAUGAACGAAACAUAGGUGAAACAUUUAUUUUUUUAGUAGAGAUGGGUGCUACGUACAUUCCAUCAAGUGUUCCCUUUAAUUUUUCAUAGUUUACAUUGAGACACAAUAAUUGCUUAAAGCAUGUUUUUGACUGCAGUGUUGCUCGCUAGCAUCUCCACCAUGCAUCUUGUCACUGACAGAAACCCCAUCUUGUCACUGAUAGAACCCCAGGAUCUUCCACCUGCAGCAAACAAAUAAAAGGACUUUAUUUAUGGGCUCAUAAAUUGGUUGUAUCCACGACUCAGGGUUGAUAUGUCCUUGCAUGAGCAAGAUGCCGUAUCUACAUGGAAGGUUACUACAGCACUACACAUAUCUUGUAGAGGUUUUUCUUUUGCUGAAAAUAGCAGGUGAGUGUUAAUAUUUUGCAGGUUCUGUAUUUCACAAUAUUUCGUAUGUUUAAAGGAUAAACUUCCACAACUCUUUUCACUUCUGCAAGUGAACAACUUGGAUCACUUAUGAUGUUUGUUGUGCUAUACCUGUAACUGAAAUAUGUAGUGUAGCGCAUGUUACACUAUCUGCUUGUCCAGAAACUGGAAUAGCUAGCCGAUGUUGGAUAGCGGAGGAUCCUUAUAUUUAUGUUGAUAGUUGUCGAGGAUUUGUUGGUUGUUACCUAAAGGACAUUUGCUAUGGCCCCGUUGCAACUCACAUGCUCUUUUGCUCUGGUUGAUGGAGAAGUUGCAGUAGGCUGAAGAGAUCCAUCAAGGCCGACGGCCAGGAGAUGAAACAGUGAGCGACACAGGGUGCCGGUGCAUGUUGUGGCAGCUGUGUAGUCGACCAACGAGUAUUGGCUCUCAUACCUUCAGGUUACUUUGAGAAACUACACAUAUCUGCAGAAUGUACUAAUUGUGCACUGUGCUUGAUGUAGAGUGGUUUUUUCCAUGUUGGCAUACGAGUACUAAUCAAUGUGAGCUUCAGUUACACUGGGAACAUAUGAUCGAAUGCCCAAUCAUAAUUUAUGUUGUACCUGAUAUUCGGAGCCGAUGUCCAAUACUUUUAGCUGUAUAUUCUGAUCUAUGAUCAACAUUUGUAAUAUAGGCAGAUGGAGCUAAUGAUAUAUUCACUCACGAGGUUAGUAGUUGAUAGCUAAUACAAAGAAGGCUUCUUUCUGCUAUGUAAGGAUUGUACAAAAACUCCCGGAUUUGGUAGAAAACUUCAUGGGUCUCGCUGCAUCAUUACUGAGGGAAAAACACAAUGGUGUUUUGAUAUCUGUAGUUCAACUCUUCACGGAAUUGUGUAAAGCCAACAAAGAUGCAAUGGAGUACCUGAGGAAGAACUGCAUCAAAGGUGACACAUAUAUUACGGAAAAGGAAAAAACAGCUGGAAACCAUAAGAAUUCGUUUACAAAGAAGACAUUGUUUAGAGAGAUCGAGAAGAUUCCAUCUGUCUUUAAUCCAGAAAAGGA